UACGUAGGGCGCAAGCGUUAUCCGGAAUUAUUGGGCGUAAAGAGCUCGUAGGCGGUUUGUCGCGUCUGCCGUGAAAGUCCGGGGCUCAACUCCGGAUCUGCGGUGGGUACGGGCAGACUAGAGUGAUGUAGGGGAGACUGGAAUUCCUGGUGUAGCGGUGAAAUGCGCAGAUAUCAGGAGGAACACCGGUGGCGAAGGCGGCUAUCUGGACAGAGUCUGACGCUGAGGCGCGAAAGCUAGGGGAGCAAACAGG
Molecule: ribosomal RNA, 253 nt
Filed under: uncultured bacterium
Lineage: Bacteria
Description: partial 16S ribosomal RNA
Rfam family: Bacterial small subunit ribosomal RNA
Source: RNAcentral